GACGAACGCUGGCGGCGUGCUUAACACAUGCAAGUCGAACGGUAAGGCCCUUCGGGGUACACGAGUGGCGAACGGGUGAGUAAUACGUGGGUGAUCUGCCCUGCACUUCGGGAUGAGCCUGGGAAACUGGGUCUAAUACCGGAUAGGACUCCGGACUGCAUGGUCUGGGGUGGAAAGCUUUUGCGGUGUGGGAUGGGCCCGCGGCCUAUCAGCUUGUUGGUGGGGUGAUGGCCUACCAAGGCGACGACGGGUAGCCGGCCUGAGAGGGUGACCGGCCACACUGGGACUGAGAUACGGCCCAGACUCCUACGGGAGGCAGCAGUGGGGAAUAUUGCACAAUGGGCGCAAGCCUGAUGCAGCGACGCCGCGUGAGGGAUGACGGCCUUCGGGUUGUAAACCUCUUUCAGCACAGACGAAGCGCAAGUGACGGUAUGUGCAGAAGGAGGACCGGCCAACUACGUGCCAGCCGCCGCCGUAA
RNAcentral lists this ribosomal RNA (478 nucleotides) under uncultured bacterium. Its description in RNAcentral is "partial 16S ribosomal RNA". It matches the Rfam family "Bacterial small subunit ribosomal RNA", at positions 28 to 523 of the family's 1533-position model. The record is from RNAcentral.